Molecule: ribosomal RNA, 120 nt
Filed under: Pteropus alecto (black flying fox)
Lineage: Eukaryota; Metazoa; Chordata; Mammalia; Chiroptera; Pteropodidae
Also listed under: 1 other name
Source: RNAcentral
GUCUACAGCCAUGUUACCCUGAACAAGCCUGAUCCCAUCUGAUCUCGGAAGCAAAGCAGGGUUAGGACUGGUUAGUACUUGGAUGAGAGGCCACUUAAAAAGACCAAGUAGGCAUAAAAA